UAAUUGCUCUAUUUGAUCUUGAUGACACUCUCACUGCUCCAAGGAAGGCAGCCACCCCAAGUAUGUUAGAGUUCAUCAAGGAACUCCGAAAGGUUGUUACUAUAGGAGUGGUG
Populus euphratica (Euphrates poplar) is the source of this 113-nucleotide long non-coding RNA. RefSeq lists it as uncharacterized. The transcript has 3 exons. Lineage: Eukaryota; Viridiplantae; Streptophyta; Magnoliopsida; Malpighiales; Salicaceae. The record is from RefSeq and is a predicted model, not a curated record.